Molecule: small nuclear RNA, 103 nt
Organism: Ornithorhynchus anatinus (platypus)
Lineage: Eukaryota; Metazoa; Chordata; Mammalia; Monotremata; Ornithorhynchidae
Source: RefSeq, a predicted model, not a curated record
UCGCUUCGGCAGCACAUAUACUAAAAUUGGAACAAUAUACAGAAGAUUGGCAUGACCCCUGCACAAGGAUGACAUGCAAAGUUAUGAACCAUUCCAUAUUUUU